GAAGGGGGCUAGCGUUGUUCGGAAUUACUGGGCGUAAAGGGCGCGUAGGCUGUGCUGUAAGUCAGGCGUGAAAUCCCCGGGCUCAACCUGGGAAUUGCGUUUGAUACUGCGGCGCUGGAAUGCAGGAGAGGAUGGCGGAAUUCCCAGUGUAGAGGUGAAAUUCGUAGAUAUUGGGAAGAACACCGGUGGCGAAGGCGGCCAUCUGGCCUGUAAUUGACGCUGAGGCGCGAAAGCGUGGGGAGCAAACAGGAUUAGAUACCCUGGUAGUCCACGCCGUAAACGAUGAGUGCUAGACGUCGGGGAGCUUGCUCUUCGGUGUCGCCGCUAACGCAUUAAGCACUCCGCCUGGGGAGUACGGUCGCAAGAUUA
RNAcentral lists this ribosomal RNA (369 nucleotides) under uncultured bacterium. RNAcentral's name for it is "bacterial SSU rRNA". It matches the Rfam family "Bacterial small subunit ribosomal RNA", at positions 527 to 896 of the family's 1533-position model. The record is from RNAcentral.